GACGCUCGUAAGAUCUUCCGUAGGUGAACCUGCGGAAGGAUCAUUACCGAGUGUAGGGUUCCUAGCGAGCCCAACCUCCCACCCGUGUUUACUGUACCUUAGUUGCUUCGGCGGGCCCGCCAUUCAUGGCCGCCGGGGGCUCUCAGCCCCGGGCCCGCGCCCGCCGGAGACACCACGAACUCUGUCUGAUCUAGUGAAGUCUGAGUUGAUUGUAUCGCAAUCAGUUAAAACUUUCAACAAUGGAUCUCUUGGUUCCGGCAUCGAUGAAGAACGCAGCGAAAUGCGAUAACUAGUGUGAAUUGCAGAAUUCCGUGAAUCAUCGAGUCUUUGAACGCACAUUGCGCCCCCUGGUAUUCCGGGGGGCAUGCCUGUCCGAGCGUCAUUGCUGCCCAUCAAGCACGGCUUGUGUGUUGGGUCGUCGUCCCCUCUCCGGGGGGGACGGGCCCCAAAGGCAGCGGCGGCACCGCGUCCGAUCCUCGAGCGUAUGGGGCUUUGUCACCCGCUCUGUAGGCCCGGCCGGCGCUUGCCGAACGCAAAUCAAUCUUUUUCCAGGUUGACCUCGGAUCAGGUAGGGAUACCCGCUGAACUUAAGCAUAUCAAUAAGCGGAGGAAAUCUUCCUGUG
RNAcentral lists this ribosomal RNA (623 nucleotides) under Aspergillus oryzae. Its description in RNAcentral is "eukaryotic LSU rRNA". The stretch from base 229 to 382 matches the Rfam family "5.8S ribosomal RNA". Lineage: Eukaryota; Fungi; Ascomycota; Eurotiomycetes; Eurotiales; Aspergillaceae. The record is from RNAcentral.